This 466-nucleotide ribosomal RNA is filed under the name uncultured bacterium. Its description in RNAcentral is "partial 16S ribosomal RNA". It matches the Rfam family "Bacterial small subunit ribosomal RNA", at positions 28 to 507 of the family's 1533-position model. The record is from RNAcentral.
GACGAACGCUGGCGGCGCGCCUAACACAUGCAAGUCGAACGAGCGAGAGAGAGCUUGCUUUCUCGAGCGAGUGGCGAACGGGUGAGUAACGCGUGAGGAACCUGCCUCAAAGAGGGGGACAACAGUUGGAAACGACUGCUAAUACCGCAUAAGCCCACGGUGCCGCAUGGCACAGAGGGAAAAGGAGCAAUCCGCUUUGAGAUGGCCUCGCGUCCGAUUAGCUAGUUGGUGAGGUAAUGGCCCACCAAGGCGACGAUCGGUAGCCGGACUGAGAGGUUGAACGGCCACAUUGGGACUGAGACACGGCCCAGACUCCUACGGGAGGCAGCAGUGGGGAAUAUUGCACAAUGGGGGAAACCCUGAUGCAGCGACGCCGCGUGGAGGAAGAAGGUCUUCGGAUUGUGAACUCCUGUUGUUGGGGAAGAUAAUGACGGUACCCAACAAGGAAGUGACGGCUAACUACGUA